GAUGAACGCUAGCGGCAGGCUUAACACAUGCAAGUCGAGGGGCAGCGCGGGAUAGCAAUAUCCUGGCGGCGACCGGCGGAAGGGUGCGUAACGCGUGAGCGACAUGCCCGUUGCCCGGGGACAACCGGUGGAAACGCCGACUAAUCCCCGAUGGGAUAUUGUGCCGCAUGGCACGAUAUUGAAAGUUACGGCGGCGACGGAUUGGCUCGCGUCCGAUUAGCUUGUUGGCGGGGUAACGGCCCACCAAGGCUGCGAUCGGUAGGGGCUCUGAGAGGAAGGCCCCCCACAAUGGGACUGAGACACGGCCCAUACUCCUACGGGAGGCAGCAGUGAGGAAUAUUGGUCAAUGGGCGGAAGCCUGAACCAGCCAUGCCGCGUGCGGGAAGGAGGCCCUAUGGGCUGUGAACCGCUUUUGCCUGGGGGCAAUAAGGGCGUCGCGCACGUCCGAUGAGAGUACCAGGCGAAUAAGCAUCGGCUAACUCCGUG
This 486-nucleotide ribosomal RNA is filed under the name uncultured bacterium. RNAcentral's name for it is "partial 16S ribosomal RNA". It matches the Rfam family "Bacterial small subunit ribosomal RNA", at positions 28 to 507 of the family's 1533-position model. The record is from RNAcentral.